RNAcentral lists this ribosomal RNA (254 nucleotides) under uncultured bacterium. RNAcentral's name for it is "partial 16S ribosomal RNA". It matches the Rfam family "Bacterial small subunit ribosomal RNA", at positions 524 to 776 of the family's 1533-position model. The record is from RNAcentral.
CACGUAGGGUGCGAGCGUUGUCCGGAUUUAUUGGGCGUAAAGGGCCCGUAGGCGGUUUGGUAAGUCGGGUGUCAAAACUCCAGGCUCAACCUGGAGCGGCCAUCCGAUACUGCCAUGACUUGAGUCUGGUAGGGGAGUGCGGAAUUCCUGGUGUAGCGGUGAAAUGCGCAGAUAUUAGGAGGAACACCGGUGGCGAAGGCGGCACUCUGGGCCAGUACUGACGCUGAUGGGCGAAAGCGUGGGGAGCAAACAGG